Molecule: ribosomal RNA, 253 nt
Filed under: uncultured bacterium
Lineage: Bacteria
Description: partial 16S ribosomal RNA
Rfam family: Bacterial small subunit ribosomal RNA
Source: RNAcentral
UACGUAGGGUGCAAGCGUUAAUCGGAAUUACUGGGCGUAAAGCGUGCGCAGGCGGUGAUGUAAGACAGGUGUGAAAUCCCCGGGCUCAACCUGGGAACUGCAUCUGUGACUGCAUCGCUGGAGUGCGGCAGAGGGGGAUGGAAUUCCGCGUGUAGCAGUGAAAUGCGUAGAUAUGCGGAGGAACACCGAUGGCGAAGGCAAUCCCCUGGGCCUGCACUGACGCUCAUGCACGAAAGCGUGGGGAGCGAACAGG